GCGACCCCAGGAUGGGCGAGACCACCCGCCGAG
Molecule: ribosomal RNA, 33 nt
Filed under: Rhynchostylis retusa
Lineage: Eukaryota; Viridiplantae; Streptophyta; Magnoliopsida; Asparagales; Orchidaceae
Also listed under: 1 other name
Description: partial 26S ribosomal RNA
Source: RNAcentral